RNAcentral lists this ribosomal RNA (419 nucleotides) under uncultured ammonia-oxidizing beta proteobacterium. Its description in RNAcentral is "bacterial SSU rRNA". It matches the Rfam family "Bacterial small subunit ribosomal RNA", at positions 197 to 597 of the family's 1533-position model. Lineage: Bacteria; Pseudomonadati; Pseudomonadota; Betaproteobacteria. The record is from RNAcentral.
UGGAGGAAAGCAGGGGAUCGCAAGACCUUGCGCUUUUGGAGUGGCCGAUGCCUGAUUAGCUAGUUGGUGGGGUAAGAGCCUACCAAGGCGACGAUCAGUAGUUGGUCUGAGAGGACGACCAGCCACACUGGGACUGAGACACGGCCCAGACUCCUACGGGAGGCAGCAGUGGGGAAUUUUGGACAAUGGGCGCAAGCCUGAUCCAGCCAUGCCGCGUGGGUGAAGAAGGCCUUCGGGUUGUAAAGCCCUUUCAGCCGGGAAGAAAAGGCUGCGAUUAAUAAUCGCAGUUCAUGACGGUACCGGAAGAAGAAGCACCGGCUAACUACGUGCCAGCAGCCGCGGUAAUACGUAGGGUGCGAGCGUUAAUCGGAAUUACUGGGCGUAAAGGGCGCGCAGGCGGUUUUGUAAGUCAGAUGUGA